GCCGCUAUCGUCUAGUGGUCUAGGACGACAGGUUUUCAUCCUGUAAACCGGAGUUCGAUUCUCCGUAGCGGUACCA
This 76-nucleotide transfer RNA is filed under the name candidate division WS6 bacterium RIFOXYC1_FULL_33_9. RNAcentral's name for it is "tRNA-Glu". It matches the Rfam family "tRNA". From Rfam's summary of the family: Transfer RNA (tRNA) molecules are approximately 80 nucleotides in length. Their secondary structure includes four short double-helical elements and three loops (D, anti-codon, and T loops). Further hydrogen bonds mediate the characteristic L-shaped molecular structure. tRNAs have two regions of fundamental functional importance: the anti-codon, which is responsible for specific mRNA codon recognition, and the 3' end, to which the tRNAs corresponding amino acid is attached (by aminoacyl-tRNA synthetases). tRNAs cope with the degeneracy of the genetic code in two manners: having more than one tRNA (with a specific anti-codon) for a particular amino acid; and 'wobble' base-pairing, i.e. permitting non-standard base-pairing at the 3rd anti-codon position. The record is from RNAcentral. RNAcentral also lists the same sequence under 2 other names.